This 468-nucleotide ribosomal RNA is filed under the name uncultured bacterium. RNAcentral's name for it is "partial 16S ribosomal RNA". It matches the Rfam family "Bacterial small subunit ribosomal RNA", at positions 28 to 507 of the family's 1533-position model. The record is from RNAcentral.
GACGAACGCUGGCGGCGUGCUUAACACAUGCAAGUCGAACGGAAAGGCCCUGCUGUUGUGGGGUGCUCGAGUGGCGAACGGGUGAGUAACACGUGAGUAACCUGCCCUUGACUUUGGGAUAACUUCAGGAAACUGGGGCUAAUACCGGAUAGGAGCUCCUGCUGCAUGGUGGGGGUUGGAAAGUUUCGGCGGUUGGGGAUGGACUCGCGGCUUAUCAGCUUGUUGGUGGGGUAGUGGCUUACCAAGGCUUUGACGGGUAGCCGGCCUGGGAGGGGGACCGGCCACAUUGGGAAUGAGAUACGGCCCAGACUCCUACGGGAGGCAGCAGUGGGGAAUAUUGCACAAUGGGCGGAAGCCUGAUGCAGCAACGCCGCGUGCGGGAUGACGGCCUUCGGGUUGUAAACCGCUUUCGCCUGUGACGAAGCGUGAGUGACGGUAAUGGGUAAAGAAGCACCGGCUAACUACGUG